Molecule: long non-coding RNA, 214 nt
Filed under: Gallus gallus (chicken)
Lineage: Eukaryota; Metazoa; Chordata; Aves; Galliformes; Phasianidae
Source: RNAcentral
GGUGAGAAGAGCUGAGAGCUGAAAUCAGAAAUCCAGGAUGCUAAGGAAAAUCAUGCAGGACAACAUCUGUGUACACCAUGUAAGCCACAGUUCCCAUCAUUUUUUGAUGAAUGGCUCUUCACCAACCUUCAGUGUUCCUUGCAGAACAUCGUGUACUAUUAUUACCUAAAAAUUAAUUGGAAACAUUAAUGGAAGCAUCGCUUAAUGUAACUCC